GUGCGCCCGCCCCGGGGGCGGCACAGCCCGCCGCUCGCCAGCGCAGCCCCGGGGAGCGCUCGGGGGAAGGCCUGCCCCGGCACGGCCGGCGCUCCGCCAGCCUCCCCGCGCAGGGAGAGCCGCGUUCUCGCCUCCUCACGCCCGGGAGGACUCGGCGUCCUCGGCCUUUGGAAAGGAGCGUGUUUAACGGAGCGAGGUGGAGGAGGAAAGCCGGCGACCCAGGGCGCCUCAGCGCGGGGAGCCACCUCCGCAGCCGCGGCAGCCCCUGACGGCACCACACAGCGACGUCCCCUUGUGCCCACCGCGCUCCGGUCAGGUCGCGCCCUGCGCCCGCCCGCCCGGCCACCUCGGCGGGGAGAAGUAGGCGACGCGCAUCCUUACUGAGAUGUGAAUUUGAAUGAGGAAAAAUGGUGUUCCCAGACUUCCAUGUCCAGGAGAGAUGAAUUUAAGACUUUGUCAUGAGUCAACGGUGGCCUCUCUAAGCUGGGUUACUGCCUGUGAGCAGUUCAAGCACACCUCCAGAGCCAGCGUUACCAGAAGGGCUGUGAUAAUGCAUGAUUAGUCCAAAUCCCUGGGAAGAAGCAAGGCAGCUGGGACUACUAAGCCUGGCAUCACUGGAUUGUAGUGAUCGGGUUGUGCACUGGAGUAGGGAGACACCUGGAAGCCAUUUCCUGCUUGUGAACUGAUCUCCCUCCCCCUUCCUCUCAAAGAUAAGUAUAUGCAAUGUGGCUUUUGGCCACAGAGAGUUUUUUCAGAUUUGUAGUGUCAGGAAGGUUUGCUUUAAAGGCACAAAUCCAGGUCUUUCCUUACAUAUAAAACUUCAAAGGACCAAUUUUUUCCCCUCUGAUGUCUUCCCCCCCUGCCCCAGUCUCUUCUAACUUCAGAUUUUUCCAACUCUGAAAAAGUCUUUGCAAUUUCAUCUUGAAACUGGCAAGUGAACUUUAACAGACUAGAGACUGCUUAGGUACUGCACUGAGCUUUCACACAGAGAAUGACAAAGCCACUGAUGGUUGCUUUCUAGCCAUGCCUCACUAACAUACAACAGGUUAAGAUUUCCACCCCCCCACCACUCUUAAAUACUUGAAGUUUCCUUGGCUGUGCACAGCAAGCACAUAUUUUGUCCAUGAAAAUGCCUUUGAGCAGUAUCUCUUUUGUCAGUUAGGUUUCUCUUGUGCAUUGUAAUUCUUGCCAGGAGACAUCUCUUGACUGUUUUUUGUUGCCUCUGGAACUAUUUCAUUUGGCAGAACGGUCUGUUUUAGCUAUUGGGCAAGGUGUUGGUCCCCCCAAAGUCAACAGGAGUGACUAAAUUCUAAGAUGCCAGAAUUUUUUACCUCCUGUUAUUAAAAAUGCUUAAGACUAGAAGCAUGCAAUGCUUCAUCCGUUUGAAAAUGCUUCAGCCUUUUCUGUGGAACUGCUGGUCUUAGAAAAACUAAUAGCAGAGGUAGAACAUUCUUAUGCUUCUGAUACAAGUUUAUAUACAACCUCCAAAUAAUUAAUUUUCUUUUUGCUAAAAGAAAUCUCAGUUUUUAUAACUGAAGUCUAGAAAUUUUUUGUAACAAAUUUAAAAAAAAGAGAUAGUCAAAUCUUAGGAUGCCAAUAAAAAUGUUUUGUGAAGUCUCAUACAAGAUGUCACUCAAAUACUCUUCAAGGUUUUGAGAAAGUUACUUUUUACCUAAAGACAUUUGUUUUAAGGUACAAUUCAUUACAGUAUACUGUUAUAGUAGUUGUAAGAUUUUAGUAAUCGAUUUUCAUCUUUUAGCCAAUGAUCUAUAACUGCAAAAUCUGAAUGCAGGCUUAGCCUCCAAGUCUCAACAGGGAGGGUAGGACUUUAUAAAGGAGUCACACUCUCACUCUUUAGAAAUAUAAAUGGUAACAUAAAGUAUAAACUGUCAGAGUACUGCUGGGGCUGGCUCCUGCCAAAGGCAGCAAGCACGAUACUACAGCCAGCACAACAGAGACCUCAGCAGCCAGGGCCUUAACCCACAAUACCAGAGCAAGAGAGCAGGGAAGGCCCAGGGAAGGCAGCAGGGGUUAAACAGAAGUCCAAAUACCUGGCAAAUUUGCAGUGGCAAAGCAGGUCAAGUACCAAGGCCAACAGUCUGCAGGUCAGGGUCAGCCCAGGAAUCACCAGGCAGGACUAUAGCAACAGGCAGAGCUGAGAUGAAGCUAGGAAGUCAGCCCAGCUCAUGAUCUGAUGAGUUAGGUACAUGGUCAAGCAGAGGCACACCUAAAACUUAGCUUAGACUGGGACUGAAGGCCUGGGGCUGAGCUUAAAUGAAGCCCCUGGACCCAUGGGCAAGGGUGUGGGUGGAGGUCCCAGGUGAGACUGGUCAGGGCCAUUAAACCCUGUUGGUGCACUCAGGCCUGCUAACAUAAGUCAGUAGAACAUCCAGUCUUAUAUUUUCAUGCAUAAGCAAGAAGAGGGGAGAAUUAUGAUUGUGGUUUGACCUGUGCUGCAUUUUCUGACCCCUGAGUGCCUGAUUUCUCAACCACAAUAUUACAGUAAUGCUAUGUCUACCCAUAGUUUAUAUAAACACAGAGUACGUUAAACAACUGACUUAUGAUGUGAUACUUUUGUUUCCACUGAAUUCUAGACCAUCUGUGUACUAAAACAUUUCUAGACUUUGGAAAGAUCUGAUCUAUUCAGUUCCUUCACUAAGUAGUUACAGAUACUCCUGGAGUAUUCUUGUGUAUGUACUUUGACAUUUAUAUUUCAUUCCCUUUUUCAUUGCAAUUAAGCAUCUGUUGGAUCCCAAGGCUUGGUUGAUACUUCUGUACUUUUGAAAUAUCUUCUUUGCUCACCUUAAACCUUUAAAAUUCUCUAUUUGUGUGCUGUUCAAAUUAUGAAAAUUAAUGAAGGCUUUUUUGCCAGAGUUUAGAGUUGUUAGAGCAGUUUCAGGUCACCUGAUUUCUGAGAAACAGAUUGGUCCAUGUCUAUGUUUUCUUUUUCAUCUCUCCUAGCUGAAGUAAUACAAAAUGCUAUCUCAUAUUCUGGGACACAGAGCAGGAUGUCAGCAGCGUUGCAAGAUACGAUUCUAACAGGCACUCUGUACUUCCUGGAAUAACUCCUGAUCAGUGUGUAAAGUGGCCAGUUGGCUAACUGUAUCCCCAGCUCUAUAAUUAACAAAAUGCACGAUUCUCCUGUUGGCAGAGAGAAGGUUCAAAACGUAGCAACUUCUACCAAGUUCUCAUUGGGGAAAUUUGGGCAGAAAGGAUCCAUUUCAGUGCCUUGGAUAACGGGAUUCAAUCCCAGCAAAUUGUUUCAGUAGCUACUGCAGCACCGUCAUUUGCUUCCCUAGUUCUGGCUGGCCAGGACUAGAAGCAGGAGAGAAACAACAGGUUUUGUUCUAAGUGAAAGGAGUGAAUAUGUGAGAAGUUAAGAGCACCUGUGCUGGGAGGGGUUGCCUUUUCAGAUUUUCCUUGCAAAAAUUAUUUCCUCCACACCUCUUCUUCAGGGAAUCACAGCGGGCAGGACAACUGCAUAAAAGCUAGUAAUUCAUGUUUUAUGCAAGAUGAAAGAGAUCCAGAUCUAGCUGAUAUAAACAAACAGUGUUGUUGGCUUCAGUGCCAGUUACCUUUGCUGAGGAUAUUACCUAAAAUUUUUACACAGAAAGAGUAGCCUAAAUUUAGACAUUACCCUGGUAGCCAUAUCAGACUUCAUAAUCUGUCUGCUUUUGAUGUCUUCUAGCAGAUCAUAGCACUGCUUUGUUUCUAGUCUGACACUUUGUUUUUCUUUUAAUAACCUAAUAUGAAUUAAAAUAGCAGGUGCAUAGCAACACCUUUUUAGAAUGAGGUGUAUUUGAUGCUAAUAAGCAUGUUUAGCCAAGACCUUGCUGAGCCAUGGCUUUCAUCUCAGCCAGUACAAUACAUAUAUGAUAAAAAACAAUUAACUCCUUAGCUUCUGGUUAAGGGAAUAUGAAAGGUGUCUAUAAAAUAUCAACACAAAAAUUAUAAGUCAGUGAAGUUAUGGGAGGCCAUUAGGAAAAGUGAAAAGAUUCAGUGUGGUCACUUGCAUAAUAUCACUAUACUCUGUAUUUUUAAUAAUAAUGCUGUCAACGCUGGAAAAGCUAGACAUAGUCUGAUAAUAAACUGUUGCAUGUAAAAGGAACCAAACACUACAGAGAAGGAUUCCUGCCUAACCUAAAAAUGAGAGACAAAUGUGGGCACGAACUGCAGUUUGCAUCUAGUGGAAAAUUGAGGGCUCAUUGAAUGAAAGGGUUAAUGAAGGGAUUACAGGAAUGAACUCCAGGCAGCCAAUGGAUUCAAUUCCCCUAGAUUGUUGGGAAAACGAAAAAGCUGCAUAUCUUUGUCUCUUGUAAUUGCUUUGUUCGUUACCGCCUAAAUCCCCAAAACAAACAACAAACAAGCCAAGCCCUCCUGUCACAUAGACAUAGUCUUGCUAUUACAAAAGUACCACUUGUAAAAAACACUCUUGUCUCUUUCUGUGCUUUUUAACAUUUUAUCCUCUUACCAAGUUGAAGGUCAACAGAACUCACAAAAUAAUAUUGUAAUUUGUUUCCUUAGCAAACUAGUACUUUAGUGGAGACACAUACUGUAUCAGACUGUGAUAGUGCAGGCCUCAUAUUUAACCUGAGUCCAAUUUAGAAUUCUGAAAAGAGAGCUCAGUUGGACCCAAUUAUCCUAAGGGUCUUUUCCAACCUAAAUGAUUCUUAAUUCUAUUAUAGGGCUUCUGAUACAAUAGGUUCAACGUAUCAUUUAGUUUCAGCUUCUGGGGCAAAUACUAUACACUCCAAAUUUCUCUCACAUCAUCAAAUUUUGCAUUCCCCACCAGAAGUUCAGCAGUGAUUUUGCUUCCCCCAGGCCUGCUGUGUACCUUUUUGCCAUACUCCAAAGCCAGACAUUCACCAGUCUCCAUCCUCAUCAAGCUUCAGCUGAGGGAAAGACAGUAUGUUUGUUCCCUUUUGCAGCCCGAAGGAUCCUUCUGCAGAAUCAUUACAGUUAGACAAGCAAAGCAGGUUGAUGAUCAGAACAUGAAGUGGAGCACAAAGGAAAAACUCUGUGUGGAUCUUAGUCUCUGGGACCUCUUUCUGGAAAACAACUGUAAGAACUACAUGUCUAAGCAGUGGAUGACUCUCCGGUGCCCAGGGAGAUUGAAGUAGGAUCAUCUUCAAAGAGUGCAAAGGAGAUGGAUGGGAGACAUGUUUGGUGUUCCUAAUCAUCAGUGAUGUGUUUUAUAGAGAUCCACUUCUGUAAAGACUUCUGUGCUGGGUGAAAUACAAGCAAAGAGGAAAAAACAAUUUUUCUCCAAUUCCUUGUUUAAAAAGCCGAACAUUCGCGAAAGCAGCUGGUCCCAGAGGUGGAAUGCUCCAAAACCCCAUUUGGAGCCAAGUACGUACAUUAUGGACUCGGCCCUGACACCACUUUAUAGAGAACAGACAAUGAGUUUUGGAUCAUCUCUCUUCUGCGUGCUGAGGAAGACUCAGCUGCUGCUUUACCUAAACAAGAGAGCCCAACACUGGGCCUGGAAGGAAUAGAAGUCGGCACACACCGGGCUGGAAGGGAAGGACCAAACCUGGAGCUGAAAGUCUGAAGCGUCAAAUCCUCACAGAUGGGCAAGGGCCAGGCAAGAAGUGGCACAGCACAUCAAGGUUCUAGUCUGAGUGAAUGAGGCUGAUACAGUAAAUAUCAAGCCCACAAAUGCCCUGAAGAACUCAUCUGAUUUUGAAAGCAGUUAUUUCUACGGUCAGAGAAAAUCAGUUUGGAGUAGUCUGGAGCACCUAAGGUGGUUGUGCAGCAAACAAUUGGCUGUUUGGCGUCCAUCCAUCAAACACACAAACUAGGGCUAGUGAUGAAUUCUGCUGCUGUGGUGAGUUAAUGCUUUGGUUACAUCUGCCCAUUUCUGGGUGCUGGGGGGAAAAUGGUGAGCGAUACCCUGCUCCUCAGGAACUCACUCUACAGGUGAGUUUAUAACCUCAUGUUUGGAGAAUUUAUUUAUAUAAUGAUUGCUACACAUUUGAUUGUUUAUCAAAUUUCUUUAGUUGUGUUUGAAUAUAAAAGACUUGACUUCUGCAAUUCCACCACAAGUAUUUCUUUUUCCUUUUUGCAUCUUGGAUAGAGAGGAUGUGCAUUUAAUGAAACAUGGUGUGUCAGAACUUCCACGAGCAUAAGGAACCACUUAAUUUACUUGUAUAUAAAUAAGUAAUCUAGCAAACCAGUAAAUCAGUCUGUUCUGGCAUUUCCAAGAGUCUUCCUUUGCCAUUAAAAUACAGUGAUGGGGGACAGAAAAAUCCUCAGCACAAAAAUAAGAAAGUAGGGCCAAAAAUCCACGUUACCAAGGUAGCAAGACACAGUUGCGUUCGUUUUGUACAGGAGUUUAAUGUCACAUCCAUUUACUUUAAAAAAAAAAUCCAGGAGGAAAUAUUCAAAGAGCUGAAUUGUUGAGUUUUUCCAAAACAAAUGUAAGUUGCUGUGUUAUUCAGAGCUUUGAUGGAAAGAGACAGCUCCAGCUUCAGGAUCUGCAUGGGUUUCUCAUACUUUUCUGAAGUCCAGGAUUUGCAGGGGUCUACAUCUAACAUAGACCAAAUUUUGAGUUAUCUUGUAAAUUAUUUUCUCAUCUCUUCAAUCGCAUUUGGCAGCAGUUACUGUUCUGACUGAUAUAGUUGAUAUUUGAUUCCUUUUGUCUCUAUACAUUUAGGUGAUACUGUUAAAAAUACAGUGGAUCUCUCCUGAAAAUGAGCGAGCCUUGGUAUCGUCGUUUCUCUAGUUCACCUGAAAUAACCAGAAUUUCAAAAAUACAGCUCAGACACUACCUUUCUAACAGGGCUGCCCUCCAGGUUCAAUUACAACCAAUAUUUUGAGAGAGAUUUUUAUCUCAUUUGUAUUAGUAUUUGUUUUUUUUUUUUCUAAGACUUGAUAAUUUUUUUUUAAUCAGUUUUUAUUUCGCAGAUGUUGUUAAUUGCAUCAAAACAUUUGGAAAAGUCAGGAUUAGGAGAGCAUUGAAAGGGAUUCUGUUAACAGCCCAGCCGAUGUGCAGUUCCAGGCCCUAGAGCCUGGUCAGUGCAAUUUGUGGCCAACACAAACAACCCCAGGUGACUGCAGUCGAACAGCCACCCUCCCCGCAGUCCCACCCGAGGCACACAGGCUGUGGCUGGUGACAGCAGCUGAACGCUAUAGUCCUCUCUUAACCAGAGAGUAAACCCACAGGAUUUUGCAGUGACAUCCAGGUUGUCGGUGGGAUUAACUUCAGGAAAACAAACAAUGUUUAAACAGUCUGAAACGGCCCCCGCAAAUGGCACCGGCUCCUCUGCUCUUUGACAGCGGAGACCUCAAGGCAAGAGAAGGUUUGUAGCCCUCACCUAUUAGCGCCGUUUUCCCACUUUGUGGGAAUGUUUUGCUGGCUGCAGAGGGCAGGAGCAAGGUUUGGCCCUCCCCCAGCUGCGAUGGACUGUAGACCCCCCUCCCUGGGGCAGCCGCCUGGUGGCUUUCAGCUUUGGCCACAUCUUGUCUGCGGGGAGGCAGAGAAGGCUUUAAAAUCGGGACAAACUAUUUCUUCCUUUUACAGGACAUUUUGGGAUCCCCAGGUGAGGUAUACUAGAAAGCACAAGGUCAUGGUGUCACAAACAAAAAAAUCAGAGUCUACCAUCCAGUACCAAGGUUGCCUUUUACAGACUGUUGCAUUUUAUUUUGGGUCUGCCACGAUUUCCAGAUGCAAGUGGGGAAAAUGUUAAUGUUGAUUAAUUCUUCAGGAAAUGUUAACUCUUUGAUAAAUAAUCCUCUUUUUAAUAGCAUCUACUCCCUGCCAGAGGGGAAAAAAAAGUAAAAAUUGAGCCCCUUUUAAAGCCUUUCCCAAUGCUUUAGAUUUACAGGAAAGCUCUCCUACAAUAGUCCAAAUGCUCAUUCUGGCAGAAUUGUAUUUAAUGAAACUACCCCAGUGUGCAUCUCUUAACACACACACACACACACAUACACACAAUUACAUCUCACCACAAUAACUACUUUCUAAGGUGACAAAGGGCAGUAUUGGGUACACAGCAGCCAUACUGACACACACCGCACUCAGGUGAACAGCCCAGCUUCAUAUACUUGGUAUCUCUAUUUGCUGUUGCCUUUGAUGUGCUUUUCCCUGGGAUAUUUAUUUAGAGAACAGUUGGAAAAACUCAAGCUUCUACAAAGUUUGCUCAUUACUUGAGGUUUUUGCCUUAAACAGCUAUGGACUAGGAAUUGCAUGAAGGUUUCACCACCGUCUGCGUACGCCUUGGACAUUGGGGACUUACAGUUUCUUUUGCUUGCGCUUGCAGAAAGGUGUAGAAAAUGUGAAAAUUUUAAUUUCAAGCUUAAGCUAUGGCCUUUUUCCCUCCCCUCUUUUUUUGAUAAAACCUCCGGAGAUGCAUCGAUCAAAUUCAGCAGUAACUCGGCACCGAGCGUCAAUGCACAUAAAGGGGCUCCCGCUCCCGGGUGUCCCUGUGAUCCCUCUCGGGCCCCUCAGCUCCCAGGAAUGUCCGCGGUGCCUCCCCAGGAGCAGCACGGCCCUGGCCCUGCC
This is a long non-coding RNA of Calidris pugnax (ruff), 8500 nucleotides long. RefSeq lists it as uncharacterized. Lineage: Eukaryota; Metazoa; Chordata; Aves; Charadriiformes; Scolopacidae. The record is from RefSeq and is a predicted model, not a curated record. The transcript has 9 exons.